Molecule: non-coding RNA, 72 nt
Organism: Capsicum annuum
Lineage: Eukaryota; Viridiplantae; Streptophyta; Magnoliopsida; Solanales; Solanaceae
Source: Rfam
UUCUCAAUAGCUCAGUGAUAGAGCAGACGAUUGUUAAUCGAUUGAUCAUAAUUUCGAAUCUUACUUGAGGAG